This 497-nucleotide ribosomal RNA is filed under the name uncultured bacterium. RNAcentral describes it as "partial 16S ribosomal RNA". It matches the Rfam family "Bacterial small subunit ribosomal RNA", at positions 28 to 507 of the family's 1533-position model. The record is from RNAcentral.
GAUGAACGCUGGCGGCGUGCCUAACACAUGCAAGUCGAGCGAACGGACGAGAAGCUUGCGCCCCUGAUGUUAGCGGCGGACGGGUGAGUAACACGUGGAUAACCUACCUAUAAGACUGGGAUAAUUUCGGGAAACCGGAUCUACUACCGGAUAAUAUUUUGAACCGCAUGGUUCAAAAGUGAAAGACGGUCUUGCUGUCACUUAUAGACGGAUCCGCGCUGCAUUAGUUAGUUGGUAAGGUAACGGCUUACCAAGGCAACGAUGCAUAGCCGACCUGAGAGGGUGAUCGGCCACACUGGAACUGAGACACGGUCCAGACUCCUACGGGAGGCAGCAGUAGGGAAUCUUCCGCAAUGGGCGAAAGCCUGACGGAGCAACGCCGCGUGAGUGAUGAGGGUCUUCGGAUCGUAAAACUCUGUUAUUAGGGAAGAACAUAUGUGUAAGUAACUGUGCACAUCUUGACGGUACCUAAUCAAAAAGCCACGGCUAACUACGUG